GGUCCCUAAUUGAGAGACUCCCGAAGCUGCCAUGCCGAGAGCAAAAAUUACCUACAAAUCAGGAAUCAAAACCAUCAAUGCUAGAAAAAUGUGCAAGGUCAAAUUUUCGUUUCUUCAUCUUUUUUAGCUUUUCAUUGUUAUACCCUUUUUGUGUUGUUGUUGUUGUUGUUAAUGCUGAAUGUAUAAGGUGAUUUUCAUUUUUACGUGAUGGUAAGAAAAAGUUGUUUGCGGCAUCUUUAUUGGUUAGAGAUCGUUGUUUAUACUGAGUAAUUAUACUUCAUACUGCAAUUUUUUGUAUUGAGUCUGUGUUUUUUAUUUCUUACACCGAACGAGUUUUAUGUUUCAAAAAUUUGGUAUCACUCUCU
This 365-nucleotide long non-coding RNA is filed under the name Medicago truncatula (barrel medic). Its description in RNAcentral is "lncRNA gene24224". The record is from RNAcentral. Lineage: Eukaryota; Viridiplantae; Streptophyta; Magnoliopsida; Fabales; Fabaceae.